GACGAACGCUGGCGGCGUGCCUAACACAUGCAAGUCGAGCGGAGUCGAUUGACGGAAGCCUUCGGGCGGAAGAUGGUUGACUUAGCGGCGGAUGGGUGAGUAACGCGUGGGCAACCUGCCUCGAAGACCGGGAUAACAGCCCGAAAGGGCUGCUAAUACCGGAUGUGGUCAAGGAUCCGCAUGGAUUUUUGAUUGAAGGGGGAAACCCGUUUCGAGAUGGGCCCGCGUCCUAUCAGCUAGUUGGUGAGGUAAAAGCUCACCAAGGCGACGACGGGUAGCCGGCCUGAGAGGGUGACCGGCCACACUGGAACUGAGACACGGUCCAGACUCCUACGGGGGGCAGCAGUGGGGAAUCUUCCACAAUGGGCGAAAGCCUGAUGGAGCGACGCCGCGUGAGCGAAGAAGGCCUCGGGUUGUAAGCUCUGUCUGGAGGGACGAAGGAAGUGACGGUACCUCCGGAGGAAGCCACGGCUAACUACGUG
This 482-nucleotide ribosomal RNA is filed under the name uncultured bacterium. Its description in RNAcentral is "bacterial SSU rRNA". It matches the Rfam family "Bacterial small subunit ribosomal RNA", at positions 28 to 507 of the family's 1533-position model. The record is from RNAcentral.